UAGGGAAUCUUCGGCAAUGGACGAAAGUCUGACCGAGCAACGCCGCGUGAGUGAAGAAGGUUUUCGGAUCGUAAAACUCUGUUGUUAGAGAAGAACAAGGACGUUAGUAACUGAACGUCCCCUGACGGUAUCUAACCAGAAAGCCACGGCUAACUACGUGCCAGCAGCCGCGGUAAUACGUAGGUGGCAAGCGUUGUCCGGAUUUAUUGGGCGUAAAGCGAGCGCAGGCGGUUUCUUAAGUCUGAUGUGAAAGCCCCCGGCUCAACCGGGGAGGGUCAUUGGAAACUGGGAGACUUGAGUGCAGAAGAGGAGAGUGGAAUUCCAUGUGUAGCGGUGAAAUGCGUAGAUAUAUGGGGGAACACCAGUGGCGAAGGCGGCGCUCUGGUCGGUAGCUGACGGUGAGGCGGGAAAGCGUGGGGAGCAAACAGG
RNAcentral lists this ribosomal RNA (429 nucleotides) under Gemmatimonadota bacterium. Its description in RNAcentral is "Gemmatimonadetes bacterium partial 16S ribosomal RNA". It matches the Rfam family "Bacterial small subunit ribosomal RNA", at positions 355 to 776 of the family's 1533-position model. The record is from RNAcentral. Lineage: Bacteria; Pseudomonadati; Gemmatimonadota.